This 398-nucleotide long non-coding RNA is filed under the name Hordeum vulgare. Its description in RNAcentral is "long non-coding RNA (HVUL_LNC018228)". The record is from RNAcentral. Lineage: Eukaryota; Viridiplantae; Streptophyta; Magnoliopsida; Poales; Poaceae.
UUCAGUCAUGCAUCAUACGUGUUGAUCAUUAUGUCGGGCAUGUGCCGUGGUGAAUAUCGUGUGUUCAUUCUUGUUUCCGGUUUGUUUCUUCCCGAUAGAGUUCCGCAAGCAUGUCGGAAUGUGAGGAUCCGUUCGGCUACGUUGGUUCGUGUGCUUCACGUAGUCGUUCUUUUUCCAAGCGGGAUCUCAGGCAAGAUGAUCAUUUCCCUAGAUACCAUUACUAUGCAAGUUGUUUCGUUUCUAUCGCUAUGUCUCAUUGCCUACCACCUGUUAAAUGUUAGCCUCUCAACUUGGGGUGGGCAUUCGGUAUAAACCGAAUUUUCGGUUUCUACCGUUCGGUUUUUAUUCCAAUUCGGUUUACGAAACUAAAAACCAAAAAUGCAAACAUAAAAAAGAAA